RNAcentral lists this ribosomal RNA (207 nucleotides) under uncultured bacterium. RNAcentral describes it as "partial 16S ribosomal RNA". It matches the Rfam family "Bacterial small subunit ribosomal RNA", at positions 568 to 774 of the family's 1533-position model. The record is from RNAcentral.
CGCGUAGGCGGCCGAGCAAGUCUGACGUGAAAUGCACCGGUUCAACCGGGGCGCUGUGUCGGAAACUGCCUGGCUUGAGGUCGAGGGAGGAAGGUGGAAUUCCUGGUGUAGCGGUGAAAUGCGUAGAUAUCAGGAGGAACACCCGUGGCGAAGGCGACCUUCUAUCUCGAUUCUGACGCUGAGGCGCGAAAGCUAGGGGAGCAAACG